The sequence is a ribosomal RNA, 944 nucleotides long. It matches the Rfam family "Eukaryotic large subunit ribosomal RNA", at positions 21 to 978 of the family's 3401-position model.
UUACCCGCUGAACUUAAGCAUAUCACUAAGCGGAGGAAAAGAAACUAACUAGGAUUCCCCCAGUAACUGCGAGUGAAGAGGGAAGAGCUCAUCAUUGGAAUCUGGCAGUGUUGCACUGUCCGAGUUGUAGAUGAGGAGUAGUCCGUCUGGACUGCAUGGCGUCCAAGUACAAUAGGCCGUCAGUGGGACAUCAUAGAGGGUGACAAUCCCGUCCUUGACGCUAAUGUGCAAGUCUAUUACGAUGGCUAUCUCAGAGAGUCGAGCAGUUUGGGAUUUGCUGCUUAAACAUGGGAGGUAGAUUCCUUCUAAAGCUAAAUACAGGCGAGAGACCGAUAGAGAACAAGUACCGCAAGGGAAAGAUGAAAUAGCACUCUGUGAAGGGAGUCAAAAGGCGUGAAAUUGUUGCGAGAGAAGCGAUUCAAGUCAGCGUAGCUAGGCCCAUCAAGCGUCUUCGCUUUGGACUAGCUUUGCCAGCGGUCUUGUCCCUUAAAGAGACUUGACUUGUAAUAUGUCCAGCCUGGCGUGCACAGGCAGCCCCUUCUGGGGGCCAGUGGCAUGGCUGGUGGAAUGGCUUGCAAUCGACCCGUCUUGAAACACGGACCAAGGAGUCUAACAUGUAUGCGAGUAUAAGGGUGGCAAACCCGUAUGCGCAAUGAAAGUGAUUUUCGGUGAUUGAGAAUGGCCUGAUGACCAGACAAGCAAUACAUGUCCCUCGUACGGCCAUUGCCCAAGUUCCGUGGUAGAUCCCACGAACAUGGAGUUGGAGCAUACAUGCUAGGACCCGAAAGAUGGUGAACUAUGCCUGGACAAAGCGAAGCCAAAGGAAACUCUGGUGGAGGCUUGUAGCGAUUCUGACGUGCAAAUCGAUCGUCUGAUCUGGGUAUAGGGGCGAAAGACUAAUCGAACCAUCUCAUAGCUGGUUCCUGCCGAAGUUUCCCUCAGGA